Molecule: ribosomal RNA, 300 nt
Filed under: uncultured Ureaplasma sp.
Lineage: Bacteria; Bacillati; Mycoplasmatota; Mycoplasmoidales; Mycoplasmoidaceae
Description: bacterial SSU rRNA
Rfam family: Bacterial small subunit ribosomal RNA
Source: RNAcentral
GUUAACCCUUGGACAGCACUCGCGGUAAAAAGAUAGGUGGUAGCGUUAAUCGGAUUUACUGGGCGUAAAGCGCGCGUAUGUGGUUAAUUAAGUCAAAUGUGAAAUCCCCGAGCUUAACUUGGGAAUGGCAUUCGAUACUGGUUAGCUAGAGUAUGGGAGAGGAUGGUAGAAUUCCAGGUGUAGCGGUGAAAUGCGUAGAGAUCUGGAGGAAUACCGAUGGCGAAGGCAGCCAUCUGGCCUAAUACUGACACUGAGGUGCGAAAGCAUGGGGAGCAAACAGGAUUAGAUACCCCAGUAGUC